AUCGCUUCUCGGCCUUUUGGCUUAGAUCAAGUGUAGUAUCAAGUGUAGUAUCUGUUCUUAUCAGUGUAGUAUCUGUUCUCUGUGUUACAGGUAUACCUUUGAAGGGAGUUCAUCUGAUCCAGACCGCCGAUCCACCUUCAAGGUAUAAGGUUAGUACACUGUUAAGUACCUUUUCGAUUUACUACAU
Small nuclear RNA from Pungitius pungitius (ninespine stickleback), 187 nucleotides. RefSeq annotates it as U2 spliceosomal RNA. NCBI's taxonomy places the organism in Eukaryota, Metazoa, Chordata, Actinopteri, Perciformes, Gasterosteidae. The transcript has a single exon. The record is from RefSeq and is a predicted model, not a curated record.